UUGAUCCUGGCUCAGAAUCAACGCUGGCGGCGUGCCUAACACAUGCAAGUCGAACGCGAAAGGGGCUUCGGCCCUGAGUAGAGUGGCGAACGGGUGAGUUACACGUGGGUGACCUACCUUCGAGUGGGGGAUAACGUCCCGAAAGGGACUCUAAUACCGCAUAACAUCCUGCCUUUGAACAGGCGGUGAUCAAAGCCGGUGAUCGCAAGACCUGGCGUUUGAAGAGGGGCCCGCGUCCGAUUAGCUAGUUGGCGAGGUAACGGCUCACCAAGGCGACGAUCGGUAACCGGCCUGAGAGGUCGGACGGUCACACUGGGACUGAGACACGGCCCAGACUCCUACGGGAGGCUGCAGUGGGGAAUUGUUCACAAUGGGCGCAAGCCUGAUGACGCAACGCCGUGUGGAGGAUGAAGGUCUUCGGAUUGUAAACUCCUGUUGCCCGGGACGAAUAGCUUCGACCUAAUACGUCGAAGUCUGACGGUACCGGGUGAGGAAGCCCUGGCUAACUCUGUGCCAGCAGCCGCGGUAAUAAGGU
RNAcentral lists this ribosomal RNA (535 nucleotides) under uncultured Acidobacteriota bacterium. RNAcentral describes it as "bacterial SSU rRNA". It matches the Rfam family "Bacterial small subunit ribosomal RNA", at positions 13 to 529 of the family's 1533-position model. The record is from RNAcentral. Lineage: Bacteria; Pseudomonadati; Acidobacteriota.